Gadus macrocephalus (Pacific cod) is the source of this 951-nucleotide long non-coding RNA. RefSeq lists it as uncharacterized. The transcript has 2 exons. The record is from RefSeq and is a predicted model, not a curated record. Lineage: Eukaryota; Metazoa; Chordata; Actinopteri; Gadiformes; Gadidae.
GAGGACGGCAUGUCUGGACAUGAACACAAGGUUCGGUCAAGAAACCUUUUCUCUCUAUGUUGACACUGCCUUUAUUUUCUAUCUAUUUUACUCAUUUUUUUACUUUUCCUAUGUUUUCUUUUACUUCAUUUACUUCCAUUACUCUAUUUUGUUGUGUGACAAUGUUUCUACGUGAAGCACUUUGAGUCUGCCUCGUGUAUGAAAAGUGCUAUAUAAAUAAAGUUGCCUUUCCUUGCCUUUAUUAUCGGUUAUAUUAAUAGGCAGUCUGCAACCAGUCAGCAGCAAUAGUGAGACAGUUGAAUUACUUUAAAUAAGUGCAGUUUCACCUGGGACAUUAAGUCCUGAAAAGAAUGUUUAUGUUUGCAGCAGGCAGCUGAUUGGUUGGGUACCCGAAUGGAAGUCAUAUUUUAAUAUUAGGUAUGAUUAAUAUAAUUAGGUAAGUAUAUCUUGAUACGGUUAAAGUGUCAGAUAGCAAUUUUUACAAAGGAUCUCUGCCUUUAAUAGUGUGUGUGUAAGGAAAACCGUUAUUCAAAUGUCAAGCUGAGCUCACAGCUUACAAACAACAAGAACACAGAAUUCAUCUGUAAAGCUUGAAAAAUCAAUAGAUUGCCUUUAAGCUGAGAUAAAGAAGGGCAUCUUCUGAAACAGAUCUUUUGUAUGGUUUAAGUUGUAAAACAUUUAUUGAAUGAAUCUCCCAGUUGGACCUGUCUGGCUGCCAACAUACUCCAGUCUAAAACCUUGUACUACAAUACACCCACUUGCAAAUCUAUGUCCCCUGGUCUGCCAGAGAUUUGAUUUGUCAGAGUGGCUUGUGGGCAUGUUCACCGUGCUCAAAGCUCUGGGUUGCUUAGCUUUCAUUUCCCUUCCACCCCGUAGAUAAAUAAAAUAGAGCGUGCGGAAACGGCCUUGUUUUUACCCCGAGAAUAACCCCCGCCCCUUUUGAACCGAGAU